RNAcentral lists this ribosomal RNA (332 nucleotides) under uncultured bacterium. RNAcentral describes it as "bacterial SSU rRNA". It matches the Rfam family "Bacterial small subunit ribosomal RNA", at positions 568 to 898 of the family's 1533-position model. The record is from RNAcentral.
CGUGUAGGCGGUUUGUUAAGUCUGAUGUGAAAGCCCCGGGCUCAACCUGGGAAGUGCAUUGGAUACUGGCAGACUUGAAUACGGGAGAGGGUAGUGGAAUUCCUGGUGUAGGAGUGAAAUCCGUAGAUAUCAGGAGGAACACCGGUGGCGAAGGCGGCUGCCUGGACCGAUAUUGACGCUGAGACGCGAAAGCGUGGGGAGCAAACAGGAUUAGAUACCCUGGUAGUCCACGCCGUAAACGAUGAGUACUAGGUGUUGCGGGUAUUGACCCCUGCAGUGCCGCAGCUAACGCAUUAAGUACUCCGCCUGGGAAGUACGGUCGCAAGACUAAA